This 30-nucleotide small RNA is filed under the name Bombyx mori (domestic silkworm). Its description in RNAcentral is "ovarian small RNA-16681". The record is from RNAcentral. Lineage: Eukaryota; Metazoa; Arthropoda; Insecta; Lepidoptera; Bombycidae.
GCCGAAGUGCCACCACUGCAGUGGCUGCAA